Molecule: microRNA, 23 nt
Filed under: Mus musculus (house mouse)
Lineage: Eukaryota; Metazoa; Chordata; Mammalia; Rodentia; Muridae
Description: Mmu-Mir-1962_5p* (star (passenger))
Source: RNAcentral
UGGUCCCAUCUGUCUGCCUCUCU